GAUGAACGCUGGCGGCGUGCCUAAUACAUGCAAGUCGAGCGAACAGAUGAGGCGCUUGCUCCUCUGACGUUAGCGGCGGACGGGUGAGUAACACGUGGAUAACCUACUUAUAAGACUGGGAUAACUUCGGGAAACCGGCGCUAAUACCGGAUAAUAUAUUGAACCGCAUGGUUCAAUAGUGAAAGUCGGUUUUGCUGUCUCUUCUAGAUGGAUCCGCGCCGCAUUAGCUAGUUGGUAAGGUAACGGCUUACCAAGGCAACGAUGCGUAGCCGACCUGAGAGGGUGAUCGGCCACACUGGAACGGAGACACGGUCCAGACGCCUACGAGAGGCAGCAGUAUGGAAUCUGCCGCAAUGGGCGAAAGCCUGACGGAGCAGCGCCGCGUGAGUGAUGAAGGUCUUCGGAUCGUAAAACUCUGUUAUUAGGGAAGAACAAAUGUGUAAGUAACUAUGCACGUCUUGACGGUACCUAAUCAGAAAGCCACGGCUAACUACGUG
RNAcentral lists this ribosomal RNA (497 nucleotides) under uncultured bacterium. Its description in RNAcentral is "partial 16S ribosomal RNA". It matches the Rfam family "Bacterial small subunit ribosomal RNA", at positions 28 to 507 of the family's 1533-position model. The record is from RNAcentral.